Molecule: ribosomal RNA, 253 nt
Filed under: uncultured bacterium
Lineage: Bacteria
Description: partial 16S ribosomal RNA
Rfam family: Bacterial small subunit ribosomal RNA
Source: RNAcentral
UACGUAGGGUCCGAGCGUUGUCCGGAAUUAUUGGGCGUAAAGAGCUCGUAGGCGGUCCGUUAAGUCGGAAGUGAAAUCUCAAGGCUCAACCUUGAAAUCGCUUUCGAUACUGGCGGACUUGAGGCAGGUAGGGGAAGGUGGAAUUCCCGGUGUAGUGGUGAAAUGCGUAGAUAUCGGGAGGAACACCAGUGGCGAAGGCGACUUCCUGGCCUGUUCUUGACGCUGAGGCGCGAAAGCUAGGGUAGCAAACGGG